This is an RNA transcript of Anastrepha obliqua, 4231 nucleotides long. It is a transcript of the gene named mucolipin-3-like, with no coding region annotated. The transcript is spliced from 4 exons. The record is from RefSeq and is a predicted model, not a curated record. NCBI's taxonomy places the organism in Eukaryota, Metazoa, Arthropoda, Insecta, Diptera, Tephritidae.
UCAAAACACAAAGGCACAAAAACACAAAUUACAGAAAGAAAGCUAGUCGCUAAUCUUUGCUGCUCCGCCAAAAAAUAUCCAGCAUAUUUUAACUUUUGAUCGAUUUCGUAAUUUAGUUUAUAAAUAUAUUCGAACGCGUACGGAAGUCAGAAGCGAGCACUAUACGAAUAAGUGAAAAGAGUGAACACAUACAAAGAACACUGGUGAUUUUUCUUUUGCUACAAGUGAGUGCAAAAGAAAAAAUCCCCAACUACCUUAUUAUCAACACUUUUGCAGUGUAUUGAGAUGGAAAGUUACGGCGGAGCAACAGCGUCAGCUGCUCCCCAACAACUACCCGUACAAGAACAGCCCCAAAGAAAUCUCUAUGACGCAACGCUGCGAAACAGCAGUGGUAGCCAGUACGCAACUAAUACCAGUGUUGCUGGCAGAGUGAUUCGGGGUGGCAGCAGCAGGUGCAAUAGCAGUGGUGAAAAUUCGCGUUGCGAAAGUGAUGAGGAAUAUCAAGGAAACCAGCCAAGGUCAGGGCCAUUGAACGCCACAACAGCUGUUAACAUAGAGGCGGCAAAUGAGGGGCCAAAUGUUUUUGCACCCACUUCAGCACAGAAUAUUGCAAGCAUUGAUAGUAGUGAGCUGCCCUCAAGUUCGAAUAAUUUGGAAGGUGCCUCACCUAUGGCUUCGUACAAUGAGGACAGAAUGCGUCGAAAAUUGCAGUUUUUCUUUAUGAAUCCGAUCGAAAAAUGGCAAGCUCGUCGCAAAUUCCCAUAUAAAUUCGUAGUGCAGGUGGUGAAGAUCGUUUUGGUGACAAUUCAGCUGUGCCUUUUCGCGCAUUCGCGCUACAACCACAUCAACUACACCUGGGAUAACCGCAUCGCCUUUUCGCAUCUCUUCCUACGCGGCUGGGACGCUUCUCUUGAAGUCGAAUCCUAUCCACCCUCUGUUGGACCAUUCGCCCUCUACGAAAAGGCCGAUUUCUAUAACACCAUCGACUAUGCGGUGCGUGGUUACGCCAACAUGAGUCGUGCAAUCGGCCCAUACGAUUACCCAACCGAAAACAAUGAGAUGGCGCCGCUACAUCUCUGCCUCUACAACUAUCGCGAGGGUACAAUUUUCGGUUUCAACGAGUCGUAUAUUUUCAAUCCGGACAUCACCGAGUUCUGUUUGUAUUUACCGCCCAACGUGACAACGAUGGGUGUGCAGGCAUACCUGAAGCAGAGCGGCGUAGAGUUGAACUUCGCAUCGCUGGUUAAGGCGACGCUGGUGUUCGCCAUCAAAACGGUGAAUUUCAAGGCCUAUGGUGGACCACUAUCCGCACCCGAUUGCUUUAAAUUCGAUGUGACUAUAUUUUUCGACAAUCGCGACCACGACGGCCAGAUGCUGCUAUCGCUCGAUGCGGAUGCUCAGCGUUUGCGCUGCAAAGGCGAUGUUGAGUUCAUUUCCAAUGCAGAAUUUGAUGCGGCAUUGCGUAGCUUGUUGAAUAUUCUGGUGUUGCUGGUGUGUUUGCUGUCCUUCGCCUUAUGCUCGCGCGCCAUCUAUCGCGCCUAUUUGCUGCGCAUACAGACAGUCCACUUCUUCCGCAUGCAUUUCAACAAGGAUCUGAGCUUCGAGGGGCGAAUGGAGUUUGUGAAUUUUUGGUACAUAAUGAUCAUUAUCAACGAUUUACUACUUAUUAUUGGCUCGUCGCUGAAAGAACAAAUCGAGCGCAAAUAUCUUGUCGUCGAUCAAUGGGACACCUGCUCGCUCUUCCUGGGUAUUGGCAAUCUGCUGGUGUGGUUUGGCGUACUGCGCUACCUCGGCUUCUUCAAAACUUAUAAUGUUGUUAUACUCACAUUGAAGAAGGCCGCACCAAAGAUACUGCGCUUCCUGCUUGCGGCGCUCCUUAUUUACGCCGGCUUCACCUUCUGCGGCUGGCUCAUACUGGGUCCGUAUCAUCUGAAAUUCCGCUCGCUUGCCACCACCUCUGAAUGCCUGUUUGCGCUGAUAAAUGGUGACGACAUGUUCGCCACCUUCACAACGCUCUCGUCCAAGGCCGAUUGGCUUUGGUGCUUCUGUCAAAUCUACUUAUACUCCUUUAUUUCGCUGUAUAUUUACGUCGUGCUGUCGCUCUUCAUCGCCGUAAUUAUGGAUGCCUACGAUACAAUCAAAUGCUACUAUCGCGAUGGCUUCCCCAUUUCGGAUCUCAGAGCGUUUGUGGGUACGCGCAACGAGGAGGAUCUCACAUCAGGUGUGUUCAUGAAUAGCAUGGAUGACUUUGAUGGAAAUGGUAUUUUGGAUAUACUGCGCCAAGUGUUUUGCUGCGGGCGUUGUCGGGUGAACAAUGGCGGCACUGGUGGCAGCAACGGGCCCUCAGGGUACACCAGUCUCACGAGUAUUAUCAAGUGAUUGAAAGUUGAUGAUGUAAAAUGAAUUGACUCUGUACUAAUGAAUGUGACAAACGAACUGAGGACGAGUUGAUGCUUGGAAUGCGCUGUGACGCCGCCGCUGCUGCUGAGCUGCCAUAUUUGCAAGCAUUGUCGAUGGCAUGCAUUAGCUGAUUUGUGUAUUAUUAUUUCUUUUUAAAAAGCUUAUAAACUGUAUUGACAUUAAACAGCUCUAUUGUAUCCUACAUUUGGUAGCAGCUUCUGGAAAUAAUUACCCUUGCCUGGAUGAGGGUUUUUGAAAAUCAAGAAGGCCGUUUUAAUUUAAAAAAAUGUUUAUUUGUAAAACCAAAUUUGACAAGCUAAUGUGCGCAAAAAAGUAAUCAUUAAAAAGAACUGGACGCAAUUUUCUAAUACAAACUGAAGUAGAUUAAAUUAGAUUAGAUGUAUGAAUGAGGUUUGCACUUCAUUCUCAUGGUCUUUUGUGCCCUCUACUCAUCACAGUACCUCAUCCAAGCCCGGUUCCUUAUUAAGCUCUGGAUGGAGCUGGGUUGGCUGCAGUUGGCCAAGAUGUCGCAACCCUCCCCAUUCUAUAGCGCUGCAUUCCGCGAGAAGGUGCAUUGGAGUCUCCUGGGAUUGAUCGCAGAAACGGCAAGAGUCGUGCAUGUCGAGAGAGUGGCUCUCGAUGCAUAAGCGACCGAUCCAUACGUUAUCAUUGGUCUUACUAUCAUAAUGUAUAUCCUCCUCAGGAUUCUUGGGCUACAGUCCUAGGAUUUUUCUGCUAUACUUAUGCAGAUCGCCUAAAGUAUAAUAAGUACUUUGCAAUUCGUAUAUUAAGAAAGUGUGUACAAAAACUCGCUGACAAUAACUAAACCCAGACUUCGAUGUAAACAUGUAAAUACGAUAUUAGAAUAUUAAAUGUAGAAACCAAUAAUUGGAUGGAAUUCGUCGGGUAAAUUGUAUUUUUGAUAAAAUAAAAUAUUUUUAAAAUUUAAAAGCUUAGUGGUCAGGUAAAGUAAGUCUAUUCGUGACGUCGCUUAGAGAAAUGUAAAGAAGAGAAGGGGAAGUUUAGAAAUUAUUCCAAAGAUACUAAAGGUACAGCUGCGCUGCUCUGGAAUUCAUAAGAAUUACUGCUUUAAUCCACCAAUAAAAAUUGUAAGUCAACCUCGCACUUCUCCAAAUAUUCACAAAUGAAUAGCAGUGCAGUUCGGUAAAAGUUUAGAUAUCAGCUGUUUGAAAUCUACUUUAAUUAGUGUAUUUGUUUUUACUUAGUGAGACAUAGUAAUUUGAAAAUUUAUGGUCUCUCUCUCUAUUUUGGUUUUUACGGAAGAAUACUUUUUUACGGCAAGUGUGCGUUUUGUAGAUCUUUCUCAAAAAAAAAAAAUGUUGCUAGCAACAUUUAUAUGGCAACAUUGUUGCACAGCUUAGCCUAGCAGCUCUGCGUGCAUACUCUGUAUGCCAGCGUCAUUGGUGGGGUCAGGAACAGUUGAACAUUUGGAAUUAAAAUUACUGUUGGCAAGGAUUGCAAAAUUUUAAAUAUAUUUAUUUAUAAUUUUGAAUAUUUCUUCGCCAUAUUUUAAGCAUUUAAUUUUAAAAUUUUUUACCUCAUUUCUAACUUUCGCUCAUUCCAUUUAAACCAUUCUCUUUUCUGAUACAUGAAUAAAAAAAAACAGCAACAAAGAUCACUACCACCACCACCAGAAUGAACUUAAACUACACUCAUGCAAUUUAAAAAAGCAGUUAAUUAUGUAUGUCCAUGCAUACUUUUGUACGUACAGAUGUUUGUUAGCACUCUUCUUGCAAUUUAUUUCAUAUUUUCUGUUCUGAAAACUUAUAUACAGUAUUUAAAUUAUUAAAAAAAUCAAGUUUUUACAAAA